AGUUGGGGCACGUCUAGCGAGACUGCCGGUAAUAAACCGGAGGAAGGUGGGGAUGACGUCAAAUCAUCAUGCCCCUUAUGACCUGGGCUACACACGUGCUACAAUGGUUGGUACAACGAGUUGCGAGUCGGUGACGGCGAGCUAAUCUCUUAAAGCCAAUCUCAGUUCGGAUUGUAGGCUGCAACUCGCCUACAUGAAGUCGGAAUCGCUAGUAAUCGCGGAUCAGCACGCCGCGGUGAAUACGUUCCCGGGCCUU
RNAcentral lists this ribosomal RNA (256 nucleotides) under uncultured Streptococcus sp. Its description in RNAcentral is "partial 16S ribosomal RNA". It matches the Rfam family "Bacterial small subunit ribosomal RNA", at positions 1128 to 1382 of the family's 1533-position model. The record is from RNAcentral. Lineage: Bacteria; Bacillati; Bacillota; Bacilli; Lactobacillales; Streptococcaceae.